UGGUGGAGCGAUUUGUCUGGUUUAUUCCGUUAACGAACGAGACCACAACCUGCUAAAUAGUUCUUACUAGGGUUCGCUCUAGUUGAUGUGACUUCUUAGAGGGACUAUCGGUGUUUAGCCGAUGGAAGUUUGUGGCAAUAACA
Molecule: ribosomal RNA, 143 nt
Filed under: uncultured eukaryote
Lineage: Eukaryota
Description: partial 18S ribosomal RNA
Rfam family: Eukaryotic small subunit ribosomal RNA
Source: RNAcentral